UGGAGGCAGCAGUGGGGAAUAUUGCACAAUGGGCGCAAGCCUGAUGCAGCGACGCCGCGUGCGGGAUGACGGCCUUCGGGUUGUAAACCGCUUUCAGCAGGGAAGAAGCGCAAGUGACGGUACCUGCAGAAGAAGCGCCGGCUAACUACGUGCCAGCAGCCGCGGUAAUACGUAGGGCGCAAGCGUUGUCCGGAAUUAUUGGGCGUAAAGAGCUCGUAGGCGGUUUGUCGCGUCUGCUGUGAAAUCCUCAGGCUCAACCUGGGGCUUGCAGUGGGUACGGGCAGACUAGAGUGCGGUAGGGGUGACUGGAAUUCCUGGUGUAGCGGUGGAAUGCGCAGAUAUCAGGAGGAACACCGAUGGCGAAGGCAGGUCACUGGGCCGCAACUGACGCUGAGGAGCGAAAGCAUGGGGAGCGAACAGGCUUAGAUACCCCGGUAGG
Molecule: ribosomal RNA, 439 nt
Filed under: uncultured bacterium
Lineage: Bacteria
Description: bacterial SSU rRNA
Rfam family: Bacterial small subunit ribosomal RNA
Source: RNAcentral